This 291-nucleotide long non-coding RNA is filed under the name Sinocyclocheilus anshuiensis. RNAcentral describes it as "lncRNA (ENSSANG00000008537.1)". Lineage: Eukaryota; Metazoa; Chordata; Actinopteri; Cypriniformes; Cyprinidae. The record is from RNAcentral.
ACUGUGUUGAGUGUUUAAAAAGUUUGCUAAAGAGAAAAAAGAAAAGUAAAAAGAAAAAUUCAAUAAUUCACCAUAUGAGGCCAGCAUGCACGGGUCUGCGAGUACUGGAUAACUUCUGCUUUCAACGGACGCCCUUUGAAGGAUUUAUUUAAUGAUUAUUUUUCACUGUGGAAUAUUAUUACUGUCCUUCGGGAUUAUUGGACUAUUCAUAAUGAGAAUGAUUACUUUCAACGUAUAGACACCAUGGACAAACAAAAGACCGCUGCGAACACUGCAGCCACUGUGUGCUAG